Molecule: ribosomal RNA, 2941 nt
Filed under: Collibacillus ludicampi
Lineage: Bacteria; Bacillati; Bacillota; Bacilli; Caryophanales; Alicyclobacillaceae
Description: 23S ribosomal RNA
Rfam family: Bacterial large subunit ribosomal RNA
Source: RNAcentral
UUAAGCUAUGAAGGGCGCACGGAGGAUGCCUUGGCGCCAGGUGCCGAUGAAGGACGGGGCUAACGCCGAUACGCCUCGGGGAGCCGUAAGCAGGCUUUGAUCCGGGGAUUUCCGAAUGGGGCAACCCACCCCGCGUAAUGGCGGGGUAUCCACUGCUGAAUCCAUAGGCAGUGAGAAGGUACACCAGGGAACUGAAACAUCUUAGUACCCUGAGGAAAAGAAAACAACAGUGAUUCCCUCAGUAGUGGCGAGCGAACGGGAAGAGCCUAAACCGCAUGUGCUUGCACAGGCGGGGUCGUGGGGCGUCUCACAUGGAGUUACCAAUCCUUUUCGUAAGAGAACGGCUUGGAACGGCCGACCAGAGAGGGUGACAGUCCCGUAUCUGAAACGAAGAGGACUCCGAGACGGACCCCGAGUACCGCGGGACACGAGGAAUCCCGUGGGAAUCCGGGAGGACCACCUCCUAAGGCUAAAUACAACCUGGCGACCGAUAGUGAACCAGUACCGUGAGGGAAAGGUGAAAAGCACCGCGGGAGCGGAGUGAAAGAGAACCUGAAACCGUGUGCCUACAAUCAGUCGGAGGGCGAUAUCCGCAAGGAUGUGCCUGACGGCGUGCCUUUUGUAGAAUGAACCGGCGAGUUACGAUUGCGUGCGAGGUUAAGGCGGGAAGCCGGAGCCGCAGCGAAAGCGAGUCUGAAGAGGGCUUGAGUACGCAGUCGUAGACCCGAAACCGUGUGAUCUAUCCCUGUGCAGGAUGAAGUGCGGGUAAAGCCGCAUGGAGGUCCGAACCCACGCAUGUUGAAAAAUGCGGGGAUGACGUGGGGAUAGCGGUGAAAUUCCAAUCGAACUCGGAGAUAGCUGGUUCUCCCCGAAAUAGCUUUAGGGCUAGCGUCGGAGCAGAGACAUGGAGGUAGAGCACUGAUUGGGCUAGGGGCCUUCGCGGGUUACCGAACUCAGUCAAACUCCGAAUGCCAUGAUCUCGGUCUCCGGCAGUCAGACUACGAGUGCUAAGAUCCGUGGUCAAAAGGGAAACAGCCCAGACCAUCAGCUAAGGUCCCCAAAUUCCGGUUAAGUGGGAAACGAUGUGGCGGUGCACAGACAACCAGGAUGUUGGCUUAGAAGCAGCCACCAUUUAAAGAGUGCGUAAUAGCUCACUGGUCGAGUGACGCUGCGCGGAAAAUGUAACGGGGCUCAAACCGGAUACCGAAGCUAUGGAUGGAUCGUUCGUCACUGAGCGGUUCGUGGUAGGGGAGCGUUCUUGUUGCGGUGAAGUCAGACCGUGAGGACUGGUGGAGCGGCAAGAAGUGAGAAUGCCGGUAUAAGUAGCGAAAAGACAGGUGAGAAUCCUGUCCACCGAAAGCCUAAGGGUUCCUGGGGAAGGCUCGUCCGCCCAGGGUUAGUCGGGACCUAAGCCGAGGCCGAAAGGCGUAGGCGAUGGAAAACAGGUGGAAAUUCCUGUACCACCAUGCAGCCGUUUGAGCGAUGGAGUGACGCAGAAGGAUAGGGUGAGCGGACGAUUGGAUGUCCGUGCAAGCAGCGAGGCUGAGAGGCAGGCAAAUCCGUCUCUCGGUAAGGCUGAGCUGUGACGCCGAGCGAAUUCAAGUAGCGAAGUCCCUGAUUUCACGCUGCCAAGAAAAGCUUCUAGCGAGGCUGCUGGUGCCCGUACCGCAAACCGACACAGGUAGGCGAGGAGAGAAUCCUAAGGUGCUCGGAAGAACUCUCGUUAAGGAACUCGGCAAAAUGGCCCCGUAACUUCGGGAGAAGGGGCGCUCCGGUAGGGUGAUGAGCCCGAGGGAGCCGCAGUGAAAAGGCCCAAGCGACUGUUUAGCAAAACACAGGUCUCUGCUAAGCCGUAAGGCGACGUAUAGGGCUGACGCCUGCCCGGUGCUGGAAGGUUAAGGGAAGGGUUAGCGAAAGCGAAGCUCUGAACCGAAGCCCCAGUAAACGGCGGCCGUAACUAUAACGGUCCUAAGGUAGCGAAAUUCCUUGUCGGGUAAGUUCCGACCCGCACGAAUGGCGUAACGACUUGGGCGCUGUCUCGACGAGAGAUCCGGUGAAAUUGUAAUACCUGUGAAGAUGCAGGUUACCCGUGGCUAGACGGAAAGACCCCAUGGAGCUUGACUGUAGCUUGAUAUGGAAGAUGGGUAUCUCAUGUACAGGAUAGGUGGGAGGCUUGGAAAUCAGGGCGCCAGCCUUGGUGGAGCCGCCGUUGGGAUACCACCCUUGAGGUACUGAUCUUCUAACCUGUGCCCGUCAUCCGGGCAAGGGACAAUGUCAGGCGGGCAGUUUGACUGGGGCGGUCGCCUCCUAAAAGGUAACGGAGGCGCCCAAGGGUUCCCUCAGCGCGGUUGGAAAUCGCGCUUCGAGUGCAAAGGCAUAAGGGAGCUUGACUGCGAGACAUACAGGUCGAGCAGGGACGAAAGUCGGGCUUAGUGAUCCGGCGGUUCCAAGUGGAAGGGCCGUCGCUCAACGGAUAAAAGCUACCCUGGGGAUAACAGGCUUAUCUCCCCAAGAGUCCACAUCGACGGGGAGGUUUGGCACCUCGAUGUCGGCUCAUCGCAUCCUGGGGCUGUAGUUGGUCCCAAGGGUUGGGCUGUUCGCCCAUUAAAGCGGUACGCGAGCUGGGUUCAGAACGUCGUGAGACAGUUCGGUCCCUAUCUGCCACGGGCGCAGGAAGUUUGAGAGGAGUUGUCCUUAGUACGAGAGGACCGGGAUGAACCGACCGCUGGUGUCUCAGUUGUGGUGCCAACCGCAUCGCUGCGUAGCUAUGUCGGGCCGGGAUAAGCGCUGAAAGCAUCUAAGCGCGAAGCCCCCCUCAAGAUAAGACUUCCCACUCGGUCAACGAGGUAAGACCCCCUGAAGAUGACAGGGUGGAUAGGCGGGAGGUGUAAGCACCGCGAGGUGUUGAGCUGACCCGUACUAAUCGGUCGAGGGCUUAAUC